AUUGAACGCUGGCGGCAGGCCUAACACAUGCCAGUCGAGCGGAUGAAGGGAGCUUGCUCCUGGAUUCAGCGGCGGACGGGUGAGUAAUGCCUAGGAAUCUGCCUGGUAGUGGGGGAUAACGUCCGGAAACGGGCGCUAAUACCGCAUACGUCCUGAGGGAGAAAGUGGGGGAUCUUCGGACCUCACGCUAUCAGAUGAGCCUAGGUCGGAUUAGCUAGUUGGUGGGGUAAAGGCCUACCAAGGCGACGAUCCGUAACUGGUCUGAGAGGAUGAUCAGUCACACUGGAACUGAGACACGGUCCAGACUCCUACGGGAGGCAGCAGUGGGGAAUAUUGGACAAUGAGCGAAAGCCUGAUCCAGCCAUGCCGCGUGUGUGAAGAAGGUCUUCGGAUUGUAAAGCACUUUAAGUUGGGAGGAAGGGCAGUAAGUUAAUACCUUGCUGUUUUGACGUUACCAACAGAAUAAGCACCGGCUAACUUCGUG
RNAcentral lists this ribosomal RNA (484 nucleotides) under uncultured bacterium. RNAcentral describes it as "partial 16S ribosomal RNA". It matches the Rfam family "Bacterial small subunit ribosomal RNA", at positions 30 to 507 of the family's 1533-position model. The record is from RNAcentral.